This 496-nucleotide ribosomal RNA is filed under the name uncultured bacterium. Its description in RNAcentral is "partial 16S ribosomal RNA". It matches the Rfam family "Bacterial small subunit ribosomal RNA", at positions 29 to 507 of the family's 1533-position model. The record is from RNAcentral.
AUGCACGCUGGCGGCGUGCCUAAUACAUGCAAGUCGAGCGAACAGACGAGGAGCUUGCUCCUCUGACGUUAGCGGCGGACGGGUGAGUAACACGUGGAUAACCUACCUAUAAGACUGGGAUAACUUCGGGAAACCGGAGCUAAUACCGGAUAAUAUAUUGAACCGCAUGGUUCAAUAGUGAAAGACGGUUUUGCUGUCACUUAUAGAUGGAUCUGCGCCGCAUUAGCUAGUUGGUAAGGUAACGGCUUACCAAGGCGACGAUGCGUAGCCGACCUGAGAGGGUGAUCGGCCACACUGGAACUGAGACACGGUCCAGACUCCUACGGGAGGCAGCAGUAGGGAAUCUUCCGCAAUGGGCGAAAGCCUGACGGAGCAACGCCGCGUGAGUGAUGAAGGUCUUCGGAUCGUAAAACUCUGUUAUUAGGGAAGAACAAAUGUGUAAGUAACUAUGCACGUCUUGACGGUACCUAAUCAGGAAGCCACGGCUAACUACGUG